UACGGAGACAUAAGGUCUCUUUACUAAAGGUAGCUUCGGCUUCCGCAUUGGGAGGGGCCCGCGGCCCAUUAGCUAGUUGGUGGGGUCAAGGCCUACCAAGGCAACGAUGGGUAGCUGGUCUGAGAGGACGAUCAGCCACACUGGGACUGAGACACGGCCCAGACUCCUACGGGAGGCAGCAGUGGGGAAUCUUGCGCAAUGCGCGAAAGCGUGACGCAGCAACACCGCGUGAGGGAAGACGGCCUUAGGGUUGUAAACCUCUUUCAGAUGGGACGAAGGUGAUGCGGUGAAUAGCCGAUGUCAUUGACGGUACCGUCAGAAGAAGCUCCGGCUAACUACGUGA
This 343-nucleotide ribosomal RNA is filed under the name uncultured bacterium. RNAcentral describes it as "bacterial SSU rRNA". It matches the Rfam family "Bacterial small subunit ribosomal RNA", at positions 179 to 508 of the family's 1533-position model. The record is from RNAcentral.